RNAcentral lists this ribosomal RNA (253 nucleotides) under uncultured bacterium. RNAcentral describes it as "partial 16S ribosomal RNA". It matches the Rfam family "Bacterial small subunit ribosomal RNA", at positions 524 to 776 of the family's 1533-position model. The record is from RNAcentral.
UACGUAGGGGGCAAGCGUUGUCCGGAAUCAUUGGGCGUAAAGAGCGUGUAGGCGGCUCGGUAAGUCCGCUCUGAAAGCCCGGGGCUCAACCCCGGGAGGCGGGCGGAUACUGUCGAGCUAGAGUCCGGAAGAGGCGAGUGGAAUUCCUGGUGCAGCGGUGAAAUGCGCAGAUAUCAGGAGGAACACCAAUGGCGAAGGCAGCUCGCUGGGACGGUACUGACGCUGAGACGCGAAAGCGUGGGGAGCAAACAGG